GAUGAACGCUAGCGAUAGGCUUAACACAUGCAAGUCGAGGGGCAGCACAAGGUAGCUUGCUAUCUGGGUGGCGACCGGCGCACGGGUGCGUAACGCGUAUGCAACUUGCCCUAUACAGGAGGAUAACCCGUCGAAAGACGGACUAAUACUGCGUAUGCUCACAACUUGGCAUCAAGUGGUGAGGAAAGAAAUUCGGUAUAGGAUAGGCAUGCGUCCCAUUAGCUUGUUGGUGAGGUAACGGCUCACCAAGGCAACGAUGGGUAGGGGAACUGAGAGGUUUAUCCCCCACACUGGUACUGAGACACGGACCAGACUCCUACGGGAGGCAGCAGUGAGGAAUAUUGAUCAAUGGGCGCGAGCCUGAACCAGCCAAGUCGCGUGAAGGAUGACUGUCUUAUGGAUUGUAAACUUCUUUUAUACGGGAAGAACAAGAGUCACGUGUGACUCCCUGCAUGUACCGUAUGAAUAAGCAUCGGCUAACUCCGUG
Molecule: ribosomal RNA, 487 nt
Filed under: uncultured bacterium
Lineage: Bacteria
Description: partial 16S ribosomal RNA
Rfam family: Bacterial small subunit ribosomal RNA
Source: RNAcentral